AUUUUUUUCCUUUAGAUUUUUAUUUUAUGUACAUGUAUGUGCACCACAUGUGUGCCUUAGACUUAGGUCAGGUCCCCUAGGACUGGAAGUGCAGGUAUUGUGAGCCUCCAUGUAAGUACUGGGAAUCAAACCCAGGUCCAGGUCCUCUUCAAGAGCAGUAAGUACAUGUAUUUAGGGUUGGUGGUGGUGGUGGUGGUGGUGGUUGUUUUGAGACAGUUCUCACAGUGUAGCUCAGGAUUGCCUAUAAAGCAUAGGCUUGCCUCAGAUUCCACAGCUGUCUUCUCUGCUUUUUCUCAAAGGACUGUAGCUGUGUAACACCAUACCCAGCAGCACACUUGAUUUUAUUUUUAAAGAUUUAUUUGUAUGUGUUUGUGGCUUUAGAGACCAGAAGAGGUGGAUCUCCUCUGAUGCUGCACCUGGUAGUGAGCUGCCUCAUGGUGCUGGCAUUCAAAAGGGCUCUUAACUGUUAAGCUAUGUAUGUCUCCUGUCCCCAGCUGCCAUUUUGUCAGUCCUGUCUUUCAGUGUGUUAUCUGGGGCUCUUACCUCUCAGUUAUCAGGUUUAUGCCUGAAGCCCCUUUCCCUGUUAAGCAUUGUGCUGCUCUCCAGCCCCCUUUAAAUUCCACCUCUGCUUGAGAAUAACAUUGUCAGAGAAGUACAAGUGUACCUCUGCUUUACUUUUUUAAAAAAAAUCUAAACAAGCUAGCUAGGUGUUGCUCACUUUUAAUCCCAGCACUCAGGCAUGUUGCUGCACAGACAAAAACCCUGUCUCAAAAAAAA
This 777-nucleotide long non-coding RNA is filed under the name Mus musculus (house mouse). Its description in RNAcentral is "long non-coding RNA chr14:56671148-56671925". Lineage: Eukaryota; Metazoa; Chordata; Mammalia; Rodentia; Muridae. The record is from RNAcentral.